Pogona vitticeps (central bearded dragon) is the source of this 217-nucleotide non-coding RNA. The record is from RefSeq and is a predicted model, not a curated record. Lineage: Eukaryota; Metazoa; Chordata; Lepidosauria; Squamata; Agamidae.
UGUCCAGGAGAGGUACUCCUUGAAGGAAAGCCGUGGAGGUAUUAAGAGCUCUUGUGGAGUGAGCUUUAAUAACUACAGGCAGAGGCUUUUUGGACGCCAGAAAGAUUGUUUGAGGCAUUGACAUUGGGUGCUGUGUCUGGGUUGAAAUGAUGACGACGACUGUGGUUGUCAAGUAUUUCAUCAGUCUUGUCAUAAAAAAGACUGGCGCCAUCAAAAG